Molecule: non-coding RNA, 2789 nt
Organism: Prunus avium (sweet cherry)
Lineage: Eukaryota; Viridiplantae; Streptophyta; Magnoliopsida; Rosales; Rosaceae
Source: RefSeq, a predicted model, not a curated record
AGAGAAUGGUGAAAGUUUGUGAGGCUUCUGAAUGCCAAGAUGAAGACGAUGAUGGUGCUGGUAUUGGAAAGCCUGACCUAGCUAGAGUUCAAAAUUAUCGAAUCGAUGAUCUACCAGAAGAGGAAAGAUACCUCCGAAUCCACAUGUUCCCACAUUUCCUAAUAGCACGGGCUGAGGGGAAGCUAGCUACUUAUUUGAGCAGAAGAAGGAAGGGAGUCUGCCAGCUGACUUGAAGAUAUAAAAUCUUAGCAGGAGGGCAUUGUUGAUAUGAAUAGACCAAUUUGGGACGAACUUGAUCAAAGAUCUGUUUGAAAAACUUUCUCUUGUGGACUUGUAGAAAGCCUUCUCUUGUGGACUUAAUUUAUGCAGAAAGCCUUCUUCCUUUCAUAUUGAUUGCAGGAGCUGAUGAUAAGCAGAGCUAGGAGAAGAAGCUGUGAAGCCAGUGCAACUGCAUUGGCUUACUCAAUAGACCUAUUGGCAGAGAACUUAAUGGCCUGCUAACAGGUCAUGUAGAACCGUACCCUUAAUUUUAGGUAGAACGUGGUUGGAGUCCAAUGAUAUAUAUCUCACAGCAAAUCAAGUCCCCUUCGUAUAUGCAAAUCCUAAAUGCAUGCAUUCCCAUUUUUGUCUGUGGCUAUUGUCAUGGGGUUAGUAUGGUAGCGUUCAUGUCUCCCUGCCAGCCAUUUGCACUCAUUCACAUUUCCUAACUCAGGCUAAGGGCAUUGCCUGCCAACUCACUUGAAGAGAAGCAAACAUCUCAACUGGAGGGCAUUCUUGAUAAAGUUGUAAACAAGAUCCAAUUGUAAUGAUACUUGUUUAAAAGGAUGGGUUAUUGACGGGUUAUCCUUCCUUUCAGAACAGUCCAAACUUGGGAUGAAUUUGAUGAAUGAAGAUCUGUUUCAACAUGUGUAUGGCGGACUUAACACAUACAUAGAAAGCCUCCUUCCUUUUGGAGGCGGCUGCAUGGCAAAAGUUGAGUUUAUUCAUUGGGUUUGUUUUGCAAGCAAUUGGUAAUGUAAGUUGUCCAAAACCAAGUACGAACAAGGAUGAGAUGCAAUAUGCUUAUACAUUUAUGAAGGUGCAUGGAUGUUCCUUCCAAUAUAUAAAGUGGAAUUUCGCCAACUGAAUGGUUUUUGGUGUUGGUAUAUAUAAUAUAUGUGUAUUGGAAUGCCUUGCAGGUGUUAGUAUAUGGUUGCUGCUCAUUAACUGGUAUGGCCAUUAGAAUGACUUGGGGGUGCAUGUCUUCCCAUUCAAAUGCCUCUGCGGAACUUGCUUUGAAAUCUAUUGUGUGAUUUUAUGGCUGUUUCAUGAAUUGAUGUCAAUAUUUUUUUUAUCAGGUAUUGGAAACCCCAAAAAGAAAAAACUUCAAUCCUUCCUGUAACCAGUCAUCUAUAAUAUCUUUCUUACAUGGAUUGAUUUCAUUUAGAGAGCCCAUUGGAGAUGCUCUAAUGUCCAAAAACAAGAUUACAAGACCAAGAAUUUUACAGAUUUACUUGCCAAUUUGAAAUGAAGCAUACCCUGCACCUGGCAACCUCUCUUUAUUCUUUUUAAGGUAACAACAUUACUUACCAAACCUGCAGACAACAUCCCAUAUCUGAUUUCAGAACCCUAAUACCAGUCCCUGAUUUCAAAUGAGCCAAUUUUUUUACAACCCUCCUUUUCAUCUAUAAAACUGACCAUAUUGAGACUGAGAUAUGCGCACAAACUUCUCCCCUCCUCUUUGGUCCUCUCAUUACUGAUUAAAUUUUAGGGUUCCACUGAGACAGAAAUAGGGAGAGCAAAUGGUAAAAGUUUGUGAGACGUGCGAAGGCCAAGAUGAAGAGGAUGAGGGAGCUGUUACUGAGCCUGACCUGGAUAGGGUUGGAAAACAUUGAAUCCUUGAUUUACCAGAGAGGUCACUGCUCCUAAUAUCAGGUUCAUAGGUGAAAAAGUGCUGACCAGUUGCUGGAUACCAGUAGCACGAGGUUUUAGAUCCGUCCUUUUGGACUUCACUCUUCAACUUCCAGCCAUCAGGAAUUGGGCCUGCCUUCUGAGAGUGAAGAUUUCCUUGAAUGUACAGUGCUCUAAAAAAUCUCUCCCUUCUAUUCGUCUCUUGUUUGAGGAUCCUUUGAACCCAAAAUUCCUCAUCUAUAAGGAUCACCUGAUAAAGACUCUGAGACAGUGUAUCAUGUAACCAAACCAGUCCUUUCUAUUCGUCUGAUUACAGAUUAAGUUUUAGGGUUCAAUACGAAAUACAGAGAGAAAAUGGUGAAUUUUGUGAGGUGGCUGAAGGCCAAGAUGAAGGGGACAAUGAUGCUCAUAUUGAAGCGCUUGCCUUUCCCUUUUCCAAAACAUCGAAUCAAUGAUUUACCAGAGCCUAGGCUACAGACAUAAUCACCUUUGGCAACUCCCUGCCAUUAAAAAGUUGAAUGAUACAUAUCCUUCAUAAUCAUCCAGAUUAGGUGGAACAUGCUACGAGUCAAAGGAUAUAUUUGCACAAAAUCGAUUUCCCUUCAUCUAGGCAAACCAUACAUGCAGUAUCAUUUCUGAGAGGAAGCUGCCAGCAGCAGAAGGAAGCAAGUCUGCCGGCUCACUGGAAGAGAAGGAUAUCGGAAGGAAACAUAAUAAUAGAAGAGCACUGUGGAUAUAGUUUUAAAUAUAUUUUCAAUUGUAUUUAUAGUUAAAGUUAAGAGGAUUAUGUAUUGAUGAGCAAUAAUUCUGUUGGUCUAGUUAAAGGAUCACUUGGUUGUAUAUAAGUAUGUGACUGUAAAUAUGAUAACUAAUCAAUGAAAUGCCAUUUUCUUCUUCAA